UACGUAGGUGGCGAGCGUUGUCCGGAAUUACUGGGUGUAAAGGGCGCGUAGGCGGGGAGAUAAGUCAGAUGUGAAAUUCCCAGGCUCAACUUGGGCGCUGCAUCUGAAACUAUUUUUCUUGAGUGCUGGAGAGGAAAGCGGAAUUCCUAGUGUAGCGGUGAAAUGCGUAGAUAUUAGGAGGAACACCAGUGGCGAAGGCGGCUUUCGGGACAGUAAUUGGCGUUGAGGCGCGAAAGCGUGGGGAGCAAACAGG
Molecule: ribosomal RNA, 253 nt
Filed under: uncultured bacterium
Lineage: Bacteria
Description: partial 16S ribosomal RNA
Rfam family: Bacterial small subunit ribosomal RNA
Source: RNAcentral